UUGCUCUUGAAGUUGGUUUGAUUCAUAAUUUCUGAUGGAUUAUUACAAACAAUUGCAGGAAAUAACAUUUUAUCUUUAGAAAUAUGCCUCAGUUAAAUCUAGGAAGUAAUUCCAGCAUAAUGCGAAAUAGGUAGGGGAUAUAUAUAUAUACACACACACACACAGAGGUAAGGGAAUAUGUUACCUUCUCAUUUUCUUAAUAACAAAAAUAGAGAUGACAACGUUCCUAAUCCAUGUACUUUGCAGCAUAUAUUGUCGAGAAGGAUGUCCCGUAUAAUUUGCUAUUCUACCUGUUUUAUCACAUCCAUGCUCAUUGUAGCUAACCUCUGCUGUAGCUUUAUCUAAACCUCAAUGUUUGCAACAUUCCAGGGAGUCAGUAAAGGUCUAGUUGCAGAGAAAAUUUUCGCAUCAAUGGCU
RNAcentral lists this long non-coding RNA (417 nucleotides) under Nicotiana benthamiana. Its description in RNAcentral is "long non-coding RNA (NBEN_LNC002189)". The record is from RNAcentral. Lineage: Eukaryota; Viridiplantae; Streptophyta; Magnoliopsida; Solanales; Solanaceae.